UUUAUUCUACACAUGGAAGCUUUACUAUAGUUAUAAAAUAUAAAUGUGAUCAUGUAAUUUCCCUGCUUAAAACACUGUGGUGUUACUCCAAUGUCAUCUAGAUAAAUCCACACCUGUUAUCAUACUUUGGACUUCUUAGCAUGGUUCAGGAGGUUUAUUUCAAGUAUCAACCUCCCCUACACACAUACACAUACGCACACCACCUGACGUUCCUCACAGUGAGUGUCUAUCAUGGCUGUAAACCUGUUCCUGCCCAAGGAAGUGGAUCUCUGUAACCCUUCUCAUGCUUCCUAUUGCCCAGGACACUGGACCUGCAAUGCCUCCUAUGAGACUACAUACAGUGGGCGUGUUAUGGAUGGCUGAAGCACAGAACAGUACUGUUGUAACAAAAAACAGCCUCUUCUGUAAGGGGCAAAUUGCCGAGAGUGCAGCUUUUGGUUUGAGUAAAACAGAAAAGGAGAAAAUUAACCCACAUGUGCCAAUAAAAAAGAACAUCAUUUAAAUAAAAGACCCGUAUUAACCAUUUAAAA
RNAcentral lists this long non-coding RNA (530 nucleotides) under Pongo abelii (Sumatran orangutan). RNAcentral describes it as "lincRNA". Lineage: Eukaryota; Metazoa; Chordata; Mammalia; Primates; Hominidae. The record is from RNAcentral.